This 75-nucleotide transfer RNA is filed under the name SAR202 cluster bacterium. RNAcentral's name for it is "tRNA-Thr". It matches the Rfam family "tRNA". From Rfam's summary of the family: Transfer RNA (tRNA) molecules are approximately 80 nucleotides in length. Their secondary structure includes four short double-helical elements and three loops (D, anti-codon, and T loops). Lineage: Bacteria; Bacillati; Chloroflexota; Dehalococcoidia. The record is from RNAcentral.
GCCGCCGUAGCUCAGUGGCAGAGCAGCUGUUUUGUAAACAGCAGGUCGUCGGUUCAAUCCCGACCGGUGGCUCCA